AAAAACUUAGUUAAAAUUAUAACAUUAACUUGUCAAGUUAAAAUCAUUAGAAUUAAUAGUUUUUG
Molecule: transfer RNA, 65 nt
Filed under: Archetypus frenchi
Lineage: Eukaryota; Metazoa; Arthropoda; Insecta; Coleoptera; Cerambycidae
Description: tRNA-Asp
Source: RNAcentral